GAGCCCACCGCGCGACUGGCAACAGGAGCGGCACGGCAAACCCCACCGGGAGCAAGACCGAAUAGGGGCGGUGCGAGGGGAAACCUUCGAGGGCUGUUUCCGGCCCACCGCCCGGGUAGGUUGCGUGAGGCGCAUGGCGACAUGCGCCCAAGAUGAAUGGCCGCCACGUUCUCGCGCCGAAAGGCGCGAGGGCCAUACAGAACCCGGCUUACAGGCCAGCUGGCAUU
Molecule: RNase P RNA, 227 nt
Filed under: Mesorhizobium sp. M1E.F.Ca.ET.063.01.1.1
Lineage: Bacteria; Pseudomonadati; Pseudomonadota; Alphaproteobacteria; Hyphomicrobiales; Phyllobacteriaceae
Description: partial RNase P RNA component class A
Rfam family: Bacterial RNase P class A
About the family: Ribonuclease P (RNase P) is a ubiquitous endoribonuclease, found in archaea, bacteria and eukarya as well as chloroplasts and mitochondria. Its best characterised activity is the generation of mature 5'-ends of tRNAs by cleaving the 5'-leader elements of precursor-tRNAs. Cellular RNase Ps are ribonucleoproteins.
Source: RNAcentral